CACGGUUUUACGUACAGCGAAGACGAGACAAAUGAGCAUGGAGCAAAAAGCGAAAUAAAAUAGAAGCAAACAAACUCCUCGGUAUCAACCGUGGUACCGGAGAAACACAAAACCGGGCUUACCAUCACCAAAACAGAUAAAGGAUUCAGACAGCUUGAAUGCGGUAAGUCAGGCAGUAAACUCCGCGAUUGCGACUUCCACUUCCAAAAACAACAAGGAAAUAGAAUGAGCACCGCGAGUUUUUCUAUCUCGAAGAAUUCCAGCAGGAGGAAGAGGAAUGGUUCAAUGAAGUCCGGAAGGAACUAAAAGAGACAAGCAGGAGAGGUUGGGACUGGAUAGCUUCGGCCAAAGCAGAUAGGUCCGGGCAGUGCGAAGAGAUAGGCCCGGCAAUCACCGAGCCAAAUCGAGAGCUUAAGAUUGCGAAGAUAAGAUUUGCUUUUAAGGUGCUGUA
This is a long non-coding RNA of Selaginella moellendorffii, 451 nucleotides long. RefSeq lists it as uncharacterized. Lineage: Eukaryota; Viridiplantae; Streptophyta; Lycopodiopsida; Selaginellales; Selaginellaceae. The record is from RefSeq and is a predicted model, not a curated record. The transcript has 2 exons.